GGAUGAACGCUAGCUACAGGCUUAACACAUGCAAGUCGAGGGGCAGCAUGGUCUUAGCUUGCUAAGGCCGAUGGCGACCGGCGCACGGGUGAGUAACACGUAUCCAACCUGCCGUCUACUCUUGGACAGCCUUCUGAAAGGAAGAUUAAUACAAGAUGGCAUCAUGAGUCCGCAUGUUCACAUGAUUAAAGGUAUUCCGGUAGACGAUGGGGAUGCGUUCCAUUAGAUAGUAGGCGGGGUAACGGCCCACCUAGUCUUCGAUGGAUAGGGGUUCUGAGAGGAAGGUCCCCCACAUUGGAACUGAGACACGGUCCAAACUCCUACGGGAGGCAGCAGUGAGGAAUAUUGGUCAAUGGGCGAGAGCCUGAACCAGCCAAGUAGCGUGAAGGAUGACUGCCCUAUGGGUUGUAAACUUCUUUUAUAAAGGAAUAAAGUCGGGUAUGGAUACCCGUUUGCAUGUACUUUAUGAAUAAGGAUCGGCUAACUCCGUGCCAGCAGCCGCGGUAAUACGGAGGAUCCGAGCGUUAUCCGGAUUUAUUGGGUUUAAAGGGAGUGUAGAUGGAUAUUUAAGUCAGUUGUGAAAGUUUGCGGCUCAACCGUAAAAUUGCAGUUGAUACUGGAUAUCUUGAGUGCAGUUGAGGCAGGCGGAAUUCGUGGUGUAGCGGUGAAAUGCUUAGAUAUCACGAAGAACUCCGAUUGCGAAGGCAGCCUGCUAAGCUGCAACUGACA
RNAcentral lists this ribosomal RNA (729 nucleotides) under uncultured Bacteroidales bacterium. Its description in RNAcentral is "bacterial SSU rRNA". It matches the Rfam family "Bacterial small subunit ribosomal RNA", at positions 27 to 745 of the family's 1533-position model. Lineage: Bacteria; Pseudomonadati; Bacteroidota; Bacteroidia; Bacteroidales. The record is from RNAcentral.